This is a non-coding RNA of Podarcis lilfordi (Lilford's wall lizard), 650 nucleotides long. The record is from the annotation of a GenBank genome assembly. Lineage: Eukaryota; Metazoa; Chordata; Lepidosauria; Squamata; Lacertidae.
UUUCUGCCCAUUGUCCUGUUGCCUUUGCAUUCCUUUGCUUCUGGGGAAUCGAGUAGAUUAACGGCCUGCCCGUUUUAAAAUUUAUUUUUUUUAAAUAUUAAAUGUAUACACUGCCCUCCAUCCGAAGAUUGCGGGAAUUGUACUCUUCGCAAAUGAUACAACAGGGUACGUACUUGGUUUUGACUGAUAAACUUGUACAAGGCUGGGAUGUGUGGGGAAACCAGGAAACAUAGUUUGAUGCUGACUAGCUUAUAGUAUUUUUCUUUUGUUAACAAUCACUAGAAGGAACCCCCACCCUGUCCUGUAACUCAUCUUUUCAGCUUGGUUAUUUAACAUGCUAUUAUUUUCUGCUUUAUACACAUGAUUAUCUAUCUAUCUAUGCUGCCUUAUUUUCUGCCUUAUACACAUUAUGUCUAUAUCUAUAUAUAUGCGCGAUUUUAGCUGUUCUUAUUUUCAUCUGUGAGCUGUCUUGAGUCCCCGACAAGUAUUUAUAUGUGUUAUAAAUACAUAUAGAAUAAUUAUCAUCAUCUUCAUUUGGCUUUGUACCUGGUGACCAAGACCCAUUAUUUGUUGUUUUGCGUUGUUUCAUAUUAUUCUUACUAUAACUUCUAUAUAGAAGGCUCGCUGGUAGAUAUAUAUUUCUCUUUUUU